CACUUGCACUGCGGGUGCUCUCUGGCCCCCACCCCAUCAUCGCGCAACACACCCCCUUCAACAUGCGCGGCCACCCUUUCAUUGCCCUGCGCCCCGAGCGGUCCCACCGCCCGGCAAAACACUGAGCAAGCCGCUGCUCUCACCUUGCUUGACACACUUGAGCCGGAGGGGGUCCUUGCAGUGUUUGAUCACGGCCAGCACGUCCCUGAUGGUGAGCCCCGCCACGGGGGUCUCGUUCACCUCCAGCAGCAGCUCCUCCGACACCAAUUUGCUGCCGCUCUCAUAGGCCACCUUGCCGGGCUUCACCUCCCCCAGUAAUGUCUUACAAUAACAGAAUGCAGGAGAGCACAUAUCAAUGAAGAAAAGACAAAAUGUACUUAUCCAUGAAGCUGAGGUUAAGAAACCAGUGUCUUCAAGAGCCAGGGACAGCACUGGGUCUGUGCAGAGUUGAGAGAUGGUGAUGACAUGUGGUUUCCAGCAUUCCUCACCCAGUCCAGGGACACUGUGGGUGUGCCCAGCUUAAGUCCAGUAACUGGAAAUACAAGCCCAAGUUCUGGAGAGUUUGAGCUGCAGAGAUAUAUAUGGGAACACUUUGAAUCUUGACUCAUUGGCCAUAACCAGCAGAGUGGAAAAUACAAGAAGAGAAAAAAACAUUGAACUGCGAUUUUAUAACAUCCUUUACUAGGCAGAGAGAAGAGGAAACACCAGGAAAGAAAACUGUAUUACGAUGUGAAAACUUAAUGUUGAGAAAUUCAGGCAUCUUGGGGUUAGUGAGGAGAAGUUUUAGGGGCUUAGAUUCUUCUAAACACAUGUACAGAAAUGCAUAUUUCAUCUGAUAUCAAAUGGCAUUUAUAGUGCUAAUCUUUACCUCAAGACUUCACAUCUUUUGGUGAUUGCAUCUUUUAGGUUUAUAGCAGCUAAGUUUGCAUGAAAACACCAGGGCUGUUUCAUUUCAGUCAAGAAUUAAUGUUCAUUGAUUGUGCUUCUGCAUUUCAUGUAACUAUUGUAGAAUUUGUUUUAGUUUUAUGAGGGAAUAAUUGUUCCAACUUCUAUAUAACUCAGGAAUUUACUCUCAAACAACACUGUCAAUUAGUUACUUAUCUCUCUGGAAAUGAUCUGGGAACAUGGAGAGGAAAGGGAGGAAGGGGCAAAAUCUGACCACUUAAAUCUAAGCAUAUUAGAUCAUUUUAUGCUAGAAAGUCCUGAAUGAUGUGACUUUCGUUCUUGUAAAACACCUCUUUCCAUAGAUUCAUGGCCCAAACAGUAUAUAAAGAGUGGGGAAGGAACUGCAUUUGCAAAUAGUUCAAAUCAUUGCUCCAUCUUAACUACGCAGUUCACAAAGUGUGAAGAAAUGUGAUCAUCUCAAAAAAGAUAAUGGGGAAAAAAUAUGUUUUGUUCUGUGACUUUAAAGUCUUGCAAUAUUUUACAUAAAUGAUAAUGGGUGCUUUAAUAAGAACUCUUGAUACUUUUGUUAUUGUAUUCAAUAUAUGCAUAUAAUACAACAGGAUGAUAUUGUUUUGGAUUUGGAAAUGUAUUCUUUCUUAUGCAAUCUUAUGCAGUCAUACUGCUUGAAUAUCAUUACCUGAAUUUAUCUUUCUUUUUUUUGUUGUUGUUUUACACUCUACUUAUUUGGUGCCUGUCAGUCUUUUGUCGUCAGUUUAUAUUCUACUAAACUCAAAAAGACAAUCUCAUACCUUUUGUAAUUGUAGGCAUUCUUUACUAGAUUUUUAAAUACACUUCAAAAAUUCAAGUACUUUGAUUUCAUGCCAUCAAGUAGCUGAAUCUAUCCCCCCGUCUCUUUUUAAAUUUAAGUGAGUAGUUCAAUUUCUGUCACUUUCUACUUUGUGAAUUCUAAAUCUUUUAAAACCAUCUUGCCAUUUUUCGUGCACUUACCCUUACAGAAAACUCUGUGAAACACUACUUAUCUCUACUUUUAUGUUUUUAACUCCUUUUUUAUAUUACUAUUCCCUCUGCUUUCUAAAUGCACAUAUUAAUUUGUUCUUUUUAUUCUCUGUAGCUCUUCUCAGUGUAUGAAUUCAGUUUCCCAUCAGUCUCCAUACAAUUAAAAAAAAGUUGAGUAUUCUGUUAUUUUAAUAAGAUAUCUAGUGCCCAUAUUCUAAUUCUGCCCCUUAUUUUUAAUAUAAUUUUAUUGUUGAUUUAAAAUGACAACAGUUUCAAUUCCCAGAAAGUGAAAGGAAACAAAGGAAUAAUAUUAUAGGCUUAAUUUUUAUCAGUGAACUUGUAGGUGAAGAAAAGAUUUGGGGAAGGAAAUGAACAUAUUAUAUUGCAAAAUAGUAAGGAACAAUCAGAUGUGUUUUCUAGUCUCUGGAAAAGCAUGUUUCAAGAAAUUCAAUGAAAAGUUCAUCAUGCUUGCUUAGAUUGUUGAGAAGCAAAAACACUGAUGAACAUUUGGAAGCAAUGAGAAUGUAAUUCUAAUCAUACUCUUUUAAUAAUGUUGCAAAACUCUCCAAACACUACUCUGUGUGGAUGUCUUUCAGAAUAUGAUGAAUACUAGUAGUCUUAUUCUGCCCUUUUCUCUCUAUCACAAUAUAUACAUUCUAUAUUGCAUACACAUAUUUUCCAAAUAUUACAUAUAAUUUCAUGUAAUUUAUAGACCUAUUAAGGCCCAACCAUUUUCUUGGAUAGGGGAUUCUUUAGAAGUCCAGCUUAAAUAAAGCCCGUAUAGAAAGUUUUUUUAAAAUUUAUACAUAAUCACCUAAAGUAACCUUAUCUACUGAACUCUUAGUACAUGCUACUGGAACCUUUUAUCAUGUUUCUUCCUGGCUUGCAUUACAACACUGUUGACAUAUCUCAGCCUUACUUCUAGGCUUCUUUGAGAGCAUGACUCAUGUUUGUAUUCCUCACUGAGGUUGAAUGAAUAAGAGAAACUACAGUAGUAGGAAAAAACAGUACAUGUACAUAUCAAUGAAUAUGAAAGGGUCAAAUGGAUCUAUUAUAGUAAGCACAAAAUCAACUGACACCAGCAAAGUAAACCCAAAAUUUUUAAUGGUAUUUUAAUAGAUCAAGAGGAGCAAGCAGAUUUUUGAGACAGUUGUCUCCUACUUUCUCUAUCACAGGGAGUAAUUUUAAAAGAAAAAUGGAGGGUAAGUUUCUUUAAGAGAAAAUUGUAGUUUAAAACAGGUCAUGGGAUAAUUAGAAAUAAUUUAAUUUCUUUAGAGGAUUUUAAUCUUUCAACUGCUUGCAAUUAGAUCCUAAGGCAAUAAAAGAAUAAGGAGAUUUGGAAAACCAUUGUCUGUAAUCUCUGAAGAAAAGUGGACAUUAGGGGAGUCAGUUGAAAAGCAAAGCUAUCACCAUUUUCUAAAGAGGAAAAAGGUGAACCUCACAAACUAUAGACCAAAAAAAUAGGACAUCGAGAGAAAGAAUAUGAAGCUAGCAUAGGUUCACAAAGAAUGAGUCAAAUCAAACAACAUGCAUUUUUUAUUUAUAAAGCAUGACUUGUUCAUUGUCAAUUCAUGUUAGCUUAAUCAUUAGGCAUUAAUGCCAUCACUGCAAUGCAUAUGUCAGCAAUAAAUAAUCAAAGACCAGGCUUCCAUCAUUCUGUUUAAUAUCUUCAAGUAAUGCUUAAGUUUGCAAAUGCUCUUUUAACACAUUCUCCAUAUGCAGCCUGCCCAGCACUGCACACAAUAGACCUGUUACUUCCCCCUCACGAGCACUCCUAAUAUUUCAUGUGCUCAUCCAAUUGACUUCUCCCACUGGUGCCUCAUAUUGAAUUUGUAGAAUCACACCUGCUCCUUUUUCAAAACUCUUCUGAGUUUUUUCUUAAAUAAUUCACUGACCCCAAAGUUGUCAGAUAUUUGAAGACUACUCGCACAAUUUUAAUAUUAUAAAUGUAUAAUGUAAAUGUAAUUAAGAUUUGUAUAAUGUACGAUGUACUUUGGUAAAUAAAAGUAUGCUGUGAAUAAAUACGUAUGAUACAAUUCAAAAUUUUACAUAAAUAUGUGAUAAAAUUUAGCUCAUAUUCUUUUUUUUUUUCUUUGAGACGGAGUCUCACUCUGUUGCACCCAGGCUAGAGUGCAGCAGCAUGAUCUCAGCUCACUGCAACCUCUACCUCCUGGGUUCAAACAAUUCUCCUGCCUCAGCCUCCUGAGUAGCUGGGAUUACAGGUGCCCGCCACCAUGCCCAGCUAAUUUUUUUCUAUUUUUGUUGUUGUUGUUGUUUUUAGUAGAGACGGGGUUUCACCAUGUUGGUCAGGCUGGUCUUGAACUCCUGACCUCAGAUAAUCCACCUGCCUCGGCCUCCCAAAGUUCUGGGAUUACAGACGUGAACCACGGUGCCCGGCCUAGUUCAUGUUCUUUAAGGACAAUUAUGAAUAUUUUUAUGCACUGUUAAUUUUCAUUAAGAUAUUGAUCAAUUAAUAGCUAUAUAUGUUCUAUAAAUUAAUCCUAUCUAGUUUCAAUCUUAAAUUGUUUGCAUAUACCAAUCUAGUUUAUUGUUUGCAUAUAUUUUAUAGUGUAGAGAUUAGGCAUUUUAAUAAAAUUUUAAAAUUUCCAGGACAUACUGUUAAUGACUAUGCUUCCUACUAUAGGCCAUAAUUAAUUUUUUUCUAUUGUCAACAAUAUUUUGGUAGGGAUGAUCAGGAAAUAAGGAAAUGUUUCCUUCAUUUGUUAACAAUAGGUGUUUGGGGAUUUUAAAAUGAAAAUUGAAGAAGUAAAAGACACCAUAUAUUUAGUUUGUUUGAUUUCGUGGCUUCAAGAGUUCAAUAAUUUAUUGAAAUAUUUUACAGACCAAAGAACAACAGAUAUAUUACGUUUAUAAGCCCCCACAUAUUUUAAAGGAUAAUGGUUUAUAUAUGAAAAUUCCCUGAACCUACACUUCAUCAGGAAAAGCUAAAUAAAAGAAGUUUACAUUUCCUAGGACUAAUGGAGAUUUAUUUCCCAGUCCUCUUCUCUGGAGACAAAUGUAGGUCUCUCUUGAAAAGCAGAAAGUUUUGCAUAUGAGGUAUGAUUUAGUGGGCUAGAAACAUCUUUUCCACCCUCCCCAAAAUGUUUCACUAUGUUUUAUCAUACUAUCUGAUAAUUUUGCACUAAAGUUUUCUUUCUGUGUUAAGAAAAUGCAAAUAUCUCUGAAUGGGUCUCUUUGCUUUAGUCAUACUCAUAUGGCUACUACUGAACAAAAUAUGUUCAUUACAGGAUGAAGGGAAUGUUGCCAGCCAGCAAAUCCCUAGAGUUUGCACUACACCAAACGUUGCUUAGCAAUUUCCACGAUUUUCUCAGUCUAAUUUGCAAGAAUCAAGGAGAUGUUUGUGUAUGCUACAUGAAGUUGUAAAAUUGGUAUUUAUUGUAUGUUUCUAUAUCGAAAGCUUUACAAACAAAGGAAAUGGAAAGUUAACAGGUGGAUAUGAUAGUGUGGCACUACUUUAGCUGGAUGGUAAGGGAGAGCUUCUCUUAGGAAGUGUUUUAGGCCAGGACUUGAAUAAUGAACAGUAUCUAGUUGUACAAAAAUCUGGAGGAAAGACUUUUCAGGCCCAGGAGAAAUGAAAAUUCUUUUCAUGCAUACAAGAAUGAAAGUGAAAAUUACCUACUCUAUGUCCUGAAGUGGGAAGUUGGCUUGCCAGAGAGUAGGUAAUUUUCACUUUGAUUCUUUCAUGCCUUCAGUUAUACUACUUCUUAGGUUAGUUCAUAAGGGUUUCCACAAUUUGGUUCCCACUUAAAAUUUAAAACUUCCCUAACCCAUUCCCACCAUAUAUUGUGCUAAUCCAUGCAUAUGUGACUUUGCGUAUGCUGUUUUCAUUGUUUAAUAUUCUUCUCAUGCAUUCGUUCUUUCCUGAUAACGAACUCAUCUUUGAAACUCCCCUUCAAGCAUCCUCUACUUUAGGAGGCCGCUUCUCACUGUCUCCUGCCUACCACCCAUUGAAUUGUUCAAUUUUUAAGCUGCCAUUGUCUUGUGCAGUUGACACAUUUCUUUGCAAUUACUGAUUUACAUGUCUGCUUUUAUCACUGGUGAGGUUCUUUAGGACAGAGACAUUAUUAAUUCAUCUCUGGGCACAUAUGUUCCAACAUAUUAGAAGUACUACAGAGUGCUAUUACUAUGUAGUAUGUAGUAUUAGUAGUAGUUACUCACAAAUCAUUUUUAAAUAAGUGAUUAUAAUAUCUUUUUGUUAUUAUGAUUUAACACAAGAUGGAAUUUAUUUUCAGAAGUUUCCAUGAUAUAUUUGUUCUAUUUAAAAUCCAAUAGCCAUUAGAAUAUUACCAUUAUUUAAUGUAAAACAAUAAAAUAUUAAAUAUGAUCGUUCAUAUUUAAUGCAAACCGAACUCAUGGAAAUAUUGUGUAAAGAUCAAGUAAUUUUUGACAUACAAUUUUAAACUCAACUUUUCAUAUAGCAUACCUUAUGAUAUAUUUUCAGCCUACUUUUAAAUAUGUUGGCAUUGAAAGCCAGUUACUAAUUCGCUGAAUUCAUGAUUUCUUUUUAAGUUAUAGAAGUGGAAUUAUGUUUGAGAUAUUCAUUGCAUUACAUUUACCAGAACUUGAGUUCUUAACAUGGAACCUGAGAGUUUCUCCAAUUCUUAAGUCCCUGGGAGAAAUAGAUUAGCUGGAUGAGGAACUGAGAGGAAAAAUGGUCAGAGAUGUAGCAAGAGUUGGGAAGAAGGAACAAUGAUUUGCUUUCAAGGAGAUUUUUUCAUUGGUCUGUUUUCAGUGACAAACCCACUGCGAUAAUACAUGUAAAGUGAAAACAUUCAGGAAGUUCCCUUAGAAACCUCUUUUCUGGCAGUUCCUAAUUCUACAACAUUGUAUAAGUGAAAUACCAUAGUUACUGUCAUAGUAAAUUGAGCCAAGAGAAACAAGGGAGCAGGAGAAGAAAAGAAUUAAAGAGAGUUUUGUCUUUCAGUCUUCACUCUGUUUCUUCUUGCUUUUACCAGUCAUUCAGGUUUAUAUAAUUUCUUUAGAGAGGCUUCUACUAUGCAGGUCUUCCUUAAAGUCAUUGGUAUUACCUGGCAUGAUAUGUGAGCCUUUAAUAUCAGUCCCUUUAUCUCUUUAUUUUUAAAGUUUAUAUCAGUACAGAGUCCUGGAUUCUUAAUUAAUUUAAUAGGUUAGACUUUAUGCUAAUAUUCUUCAUUUUGAUGCUCAAAUUUUCCAAAAUUUGGCCAGCAGGGUUCCUUAAAGCUGGGUACCUUGCCCUUUCAACAUGUCCCUCUGAUUCUUUAUUUUUAUUUACUUAUUUAUUUAUUUAUUUAUUUAUUUAUUUAUUUAUUUAUUUAGAGACUGAGUCUUGCUCUGUCUCCCAGCCUGGAGUGCAAUGGCACAAUCUUGGCUCACUGCAACCUCUAUCUCCCAGGUUCAAGCAAUUCUCCUCCCUCAGCCUCCCGAGCAACUGGGACUACAGGCAUGUGCAACCAUGCCUGGCUAAUUUUUUUUGUAUUUUUAGUAGAGACAGGCUUUCACCAUGUUGGUCAGGCUGGCCUCGAUCUCCUGACCUCAAAUGAUCCAUCGCCUCGGCCUCCCAAAGUGCUGGGAUUACAGGCGUGAGCUGCCACACCCAGCCGUCCCUCUCAUUCUUUAAGUACUUCCAUGUUUUCUAAGGUACAAGAUGUUCCAUAUUAUUUUGUUAUUUGUCUUCCCCAGCUCUGAAAUCUGCCUUUCCUUCAAGGAGCCUUGGUUCUUUCUAGUGACAAAUUAUAUUUAGAAAGAAGAUCUGGGUAUUUGACUUGUAUAUUGCUAUUAAUUGGCCAUUGUUUCUAGUCUCUUUCAGUAGACAGAGCUAAGAAAUGUAAAAGGAAAUAUUUGAAUGUAUGUAUAUGUGAUAUAUUAAGUACAUUUAAACAUAUUAAAUUCAUGAGUUCAUACUAAUACUUUCAAUAAGCCACAAUUCCCUUUUCAUGUUUUCGAAGGAAAAAUAUCCAUUGUCUAUAUACAGUGGACAUAGAUAGUAAUAAUACUGAUCUUGAAAAGAGCAGUCUUAAAUAGAUCCCAUUAAUAGUUAAAGAUAACAUAUCUUAGAAUUCUAGAUAUUAGAGAGAUUAUCUAGAGCUGUAAUCUAGAUAUUUUAUAGAUCUUUGCUGUGCUGUUUUGAAUUUGUGUUGGAGUAGAACAAUCAGAUGACAAAAGCUCAUCCCACAUGGAAAAAUCAAAGCAUUCAUUACAGAGAGAAUUUUGAAAUAAAUGCAUAUAUAAAAAAUAUAUAUGCAUAUAUAAUGCAUAUGUAUAUGCAUAUAAAAUAUAUAUAUAUAAAAUGAGGGUUAUAAACAAUGAAGGAAAUAGUGAUACUAUCUAUGUGGGAACAAUACUAGUAUCCUCCCUUUGGAUGAAUACAGUAGCUACAGAUGCAAUUCUGGGGACUCUGUUUAGCAAUAGCUUAACUAUUGCUUGGCUACAAGCAUGGAUAACUUGUUCAAAGAUAAUGAGGAGUUGUAAAUAUUUAAAUAAACAGGAUUUGCAACAUAAAAAGCUUUGUGACUAUGUGUCUGAAUUCUUAGAGUUUUCUCCCAGCAAGACCUUGGAUGUGGCAGACUUUUCUGUAAUUGUCCAUCUCGCCCCUAUUUCAUGAAAAGCCAGAGCUUCUCUACUUAGUUUGCUAACCCCAAAUAUAUAAAUUCAAUAGAAGUACUAGCCUGUUUUUACUGGUUUAUUUGCUUUAUCUAAAAAAAACAAGGCAUAGUUUAAAGUCUGUUUUUGAUAGCAUAACAAAACAAAGGUUCUCAUUUUAAUAAUGCAUCACAUAUACACUUGGUAACUAUUGCAUAGUAAUAAUUUAAUAACUUGAGAAAUAUAUUUAUGCAUGUAUGUGUAUAUGUUCAUAUAUAUGUUAUUUUUAAUUCAGAAGUAAAACAAAUAUUGGAAGAGGCCACAGUUAUUAUAAAAAUAAUUUGACCAGUAUUGGACAAUGCAAAUAGCAAUCAUUUAGAAGUUUCU
Molecule: long non-coding RNA, 8868 nt
Filed under: Homo sapiens (human)
Lineage: Eukaryota; Metazoa; Chordata; Mammalia; Primates; Hominidae
Description: PREDICTED lncRNA (TCONS_00237988)
Source: RNAcentral